This 439-nucleotide ribosomal RNA is filed under the name uncultured bacterium. RNAcentral describes it as "bacterial SSU rRNA". It matches the Rfam family "Bacterial small subunit ribosomal RNA", at positions 81 to 518 of the family's 1533-position model. The record is from RNAcentral.
UACGUUGGUGGCGACCGGCGCGACGGGUGAGUAACGCGUAUGCAACCUACCUAUCAGAGGGGAAUAACCCGGCGAAAGUCGGACUAAUACCGCAUAAACAGGGGCACCGCAUGGUGAUAUUUGUUAAAGAGAUUCGCUGAUAGAUGGGCAUGCGUUCCAUUAGGUAGUUGGUGAGGUAACGGCUCACCAAGCCGACGAUGGAUAGGGAACUGAGAGGUUGGUCCCCCACACUGGUACUGAGACACGGACCAGACUCCUACGGGAGGCAGCAGUGAGGAAUAUUGGUCAAUGGGCGGGAGCCUGAACCAGCCAAGUCGCCGUGAAGGAAGAAGGAUCUAUGGUUCGUAAACUUCUUUUGCAGGGGAAUAAAGUGCAGGACGUGUCCUGUUUUGUAUGUACCCUGAGAAUAAGGAUCGGCUAACUCCGUGCCAGCAGCCGC